CAAUAGCGUAUAUUUAAGUUGCUGCAGUUAAAAAGCUCGUAGUUGGAUUUCGGGUGGGAAUGGCCGGUCCGCCGUUUCGGUGUGCACUUGCUACGCCCACCUUGCUGCCGGGGACGUGCUCUUGAGUUCACGCUCGGGACACGGAGUCGGCGAGGUUACUUUGAGUAAAUUAGAGUGUUCAAAGCAGGCCUACGCUCUGAAUACAUUAGCAUGGAAUAACACGAUAGGACUCUGGCCUAUCUUGUUGGUCUGUAGGACCGGAGUAAUGAUUAAGAGGGACAGUCGGGGGCAUUCGUAUUUCAUUGUCAGAGGUGAAAUUCUCAGACCCGCGGAAGACGAACCACUGCGAAAGCAUUUGCCAGGGAUGUUUUCACUGA
Molecule: ribosomal RNA, 377 nt
Filed under: uncultured eukaryote
Lineage: Eukaryota
Description: partial 18S ribosomal RNA
Rfam family: Eukaryotic small subunit ribosomal RNA
Source: RNAcentral